GUCAUGCCAAUGGCACUGCCCGGUAGCUAAAUGCGGAAGAGAUAAGUGCUGAAAGCAUCUAAGCACGAAACUUGCCCCGAGAUGAGUUCUCCCUGAGACUUAGAGUCUCCUGAAGGAACGUUGAAGACGACGACGUUGAUAGGCCGGGUGUGUAAGCGCAGCGAUGCGUUGAGCUAACCGGUACUAAUGAACCGUGAGGCUUAACCUU
This 208-nucleotide ribosomal RNA is filed under the name Salmonella enterica subsp. enterica serovar Infantis. RNAcentral's name for it is "partial 23S ribosomal RNA". It matches the Rfam family "Bacterial large subunit ribosomal RNA", at positions 2723 to 2925 of the family's 2925-position model. RNAcentral also lists the same sequence under 4 other names. Lineage: Bacteria; Pseudomonadati; Pseudomonadota; Gammaproteobacteria; Enterobacterales; Enterobacteriaceae. The record is from RNAcentral.